RNAcentral lists this ribosomal RNA (253 nucleotides) under uncultured bacterium. RNAcentral's name for it is "partial 16S ribosomal RNA". It matches the Rfam family "Bacterial small subunit ribosomal RNA", at positions 524 to 776 of the family's 1533-position model. The record is from RNAcentral.
GACGUAGGGCGCGAGCGUUGUCCGGAUUUAUUGGGCGUAAAGAGCUCGUAGGCGGCUUGUCGCGUCGUCCGUGAAAACCCACAGCUCAACUGUGGGCUUGCGGUCGAUACGGGCAGGCUAGAGUUCGGUAGGGGAGACUGGAAUUCCUGGUGUAGCGGUGAAAUGCGCAGAUAUCGGGAGGAACACCCGUAGCGAAGGCGGCGCUCUGGGCCGGUACUGACGCCGAGGAGCGAAAGCGUGGGGAGCAAACAGG